RNAcentral lists this ribosomal RNA (465 nucleotides) under Vreelandella stevensii. RNAcentral's name for it is "partial 16S ribosomal RNA". It matches the Rfam family "Bacterial small subunit ribosomal RNA", at positions 338 to 795 of the family's 1533-position model. Lineage: Bacteria; Pseudomonadati; Pseudomonadota; Gammaproteobacteria; Oceanospirillales; Halomonadaceae. The record is from RNAcentral.
CCUACGGGGGGCAGCAGUGGGGAAUAUUGGACAAUGGGGGGAACCCUGAUCCAGCCAUGCCGCGUGUGUGAAGAAGGCCCUCGGGUUGUAAAGCACUUUCAGUGAGGAAGAACGCCUGGUGGUUAAUACCCAUCAGGAAAGACAUCACUCACAGAAGAAGCACCGGCUAACUCCGUGCCAGCAGCCGCGGUAAUACGGAGGGUGCGAGCGUUAAUCGGAAUUACUGGGCGUAAAGCGCGCGUAGGUGGCUUGAUAAGCCGGUUGUGAAAGCUCCGGGCUCAACCUGGGAACGGCAUCCGGAACUGUCAAGCUAGAGUGCAGGAGAGGAAGGUAGAAUUCCCGGUGUAGCGGUGAAAUGCGUAGAGAUCGGGAGGAAUACCAGUGGCGAAGGCGGCCUUCUGGACUGACACUGACACUGAGGUGCGAAAGCGUGGGUAGCAAACAGGAUUAGAUACCCGUGUAGUC